Molecule: long non-coding RNA, 195 nt
Organism: Octopus sinensis (East Asian common octopus)
Lineage: Eukaryota; Metazoa; Mollusca; Cephalopoda; Octopoda; Octopodidae
Exons: 3
Source: RefSeq, a predicted model, not a curated record
CUAAUUGUGACCAGUUUUGCCUUCCAUUUUAGGCCCCUAUUAUUUAUAAUCAUAAUAUGUUAAGUCGCCCCUGUCCUUCUUUCUGGUUAUCACCUCUUCUCUAUAUAUCAUUAUCUUACUAGCAACUUCUGAGACAUAUUCAUUUAUAUAGAUAUGGCUGGUUUUAUGGUCCCAGCAAGAUAGGAGUAGAUUGGU